UGCUUAAUUUUAUGUCUUUUCAUAUUCUGCCCAGAAUGAAAAAGAACUGAAACGGGAAAGGAGAAAACAGUCAAAUAGAGAAUCCGCUAGGAGGUCAAGGUUGAGGAAGCAGGCUGAGGCAGAAGAACUAGCUCAUAAAGUUGAUUCACUGACUGCGGAGAAUGUUGCUAUUCGAUCUGAAAUAAAAAGAUUGUCGGAGAACUCUGAGAAAAUUAAGAAAGAAAACGCUACAUUGAUGAUAAAGCUUAAAAGCGCUCAAUCAGGACGAUCCGAAGCUUUAGACAUGAAUGAAAAGAGGAUGCAACAGCCUGUAAGCACAGAAAUCAAAGGACCUGUGAAUAAAAGCAUUAAAGAAGAGAGUAACAUCUGCAAGAAAAACUCGAGUUCGGGUGCAAAACUGUGCCAGCUCUUGGACACGAGUUCAAGGGCGGACGCAGUCGCUGCUAGCUAAAAAGAACCAGUUUAGUUGCAGUUUCUUUUUCAUGUGGUUUUGGCAUAUUACAAGCCCAAAAUUACUGCUAACA
Non-coding RNA from Cucurbita pepo subsp. pepo (vegetable marrow), 524 nucleotides. NCBI's taxonomy places the organism in Eukaryota, Viridiplantae, Streptophyta, Magnoliopsida, Cucurbitales, Cucurbitaceae. The record is from RefSeq and is a predicted model, not a curated record.